GGAUCAGUUCGCUGGUCGUGCCUCUGGUAUGUACUGGUGUUACUGGUUCCUCCCUUCUGACGAACUGUCAUGUCAUUAAUUUGGUGUGGCGGGGAAUCAGGACUGUUACUUUGAAAAAAUUAGAGUGUUUAAAGCAGGCUAUCGCUUGAAUAGAUUAGCAUGGAAUAAUAGAAUAGGACGCGUGGUUCUAUUUUGUUGGUUUCUAGGAUCACCGUA
This 216-nucleotide ribosomal RNA is filed under the name uncultured fungus. RNAcentral describes it as "partial small subunit ribosomal RNA". The stretch from base 38 to 216 matches the Rfam family "Eukaryotic small subunit ribosomal RNA", at positions 684 to 864 of the family's 1831-position model. Lineage: Eukaryota; Fungi. The record is from RNAcentral.